AGCUGCGCGUCGAGUACAUAGCGAACUAUUCUUUCGCCUUUUACUAAAGAAUACCAUGUGCUCGUUGCUUAAAAGCAGCAUAUGAUAUUUUUUGGAAGGUGUUUUCUUUUAAAGAAAAC
Salvia splendens (bonfire salvia) is the source of this 119-nucleotide small nuclear RNA. RefSeq annotates it as U5 spliceosomal RNA. Lineage: Eukaryota; Viridiplantae; Streptophyta; Magnoliopsida; Lamiales; Lamiaceae. The record is from RefSeq and is a predicted model, not a curated record. The transcript has a single exon.